This 2336-nucleotide long non-coding RNA is filed under the name Gallus gallus (chicken). Lineage: Eukaryota; Metazoa; Chordata; Aves; Galliformes; Phasianidae. The record is from RNAcentral.
CGGGACCCCCCGCGCCCACCCGUCCCCGCGGGCUGACCGCGCUGCGUGCCGGGCGCGUCCCGUCCGCACGGCACAGAAAGGUGGUGGCGAAGGACGGCACCGUCCCGCCGGUGCCCCGCGGCCGCUUUGUACCGAUUUGUUCUCCCCCUCCUCCCACCCCGAAGCAGCGAACCACGCGCGGUUUUCAGCGGCGGAAAGCGCGGAACUCGGGGCCGCACUUACCCCGGGACGCAGAGGAUCAUGUCACUGCGGGGCCAGGGGAAGAGCAUCGGGGCCUCGGCAGGGGCAGCGCCCGUCCUCCCCGCUGUGCCCGGCCGUGCUGUGCCCCGUCCCGCACUCCGGAGGCGGCGGCGGAGCGGCGCGGUCCGAUCCUCCCGCGGGGCGCUCUCAGAAAGAAGCGGUCGGGGCGCUCGGCGUUAAUAAUAAAUAGACGGGAAGAAAUAAAUACGGUCCCCGCGAGCGCUGGGGAGAGACGCGCGCCUCGGCCCGGGCUGCACAAGUACUGGGGCUGGGCGAGAAAAAAAACCCGCUAAGUAAUCUUUUGUUUGCCCCUUUUAAUCUGUUCCAGGAAGCGAGGGAUUCCUGGAAUCGCAUUGUAUUCGCAUCACUCUUCCGAUAGCAGCCACGCGAGGAGAAAGAAAAAAAAGCGGCAGACACCUGCAGAGCAGAACUGAAGGACAGAUGCACGGGCCACAUUUCAGAGUGCAGCACACACCGCAGCCCAACCUAGGGGUCACACAGCGGUUUCCAUUUCCUCCUGUGCAUCUCUAGAGAGUCCUGCAGAGCUUCCCUUCCUCCCGCGGCACAGACACAGCGCUUUCUGAAGAACUUCCUCAGAAAUGCACAAAGGAUGCCGCGGCCCCACAGCUCCAUCCCCACUUCCAGGCUGACAGCACAGAGCACCGCCUGUACAACGCCCCGGGGGAGGACUCACACCGAUGGCACCCCGGGGAGGCAGCGUUUCAGAAGAACGUAUCACUGCAUUUUCAGCUGCUGGUGGCAUUUCCCUUACUGCAGUCGAUAUUGAUUUCCUCGAGACACCGCUGUGUGAGGACCAAUCCCAGCCCAAUCCCUUUUGUCUCAGAUAAACUCGGAUGAAUGCAGCAUUCGGGUAGGUAUCAUUCUCCCAAAGCACGCCGACCCCAAGGAUUUGGUGACCCCAGAUUUCCUCACUCUCCACCUGACAGCAAACUGCGAUGUUUCAUUUCACUUCAUUUUUGGUGAGAAAUGAGGUAUUUCACAGUCUGAACUGGCUUUGAUGCCUGAUAUCGCUGUCACCGAAUUGCUGCAGUGUAGGAAAAAGGCAGCAAAAAAUACCCAAUGAGACAGCCAAAAUUAACCUUAGUCACCCAAAGUAACGGUGUUUGAGCCAUAAAGCUCUGCACAGCGCAGGUAGCUGUGAUACCCAGGAGCAGCAGCUCCUCAGUGAAGGGCUGACUGCCACUGGGGAAGGAUCUGUGUGUAUGUGGGGGUGGGGGGACUGUUGAGUCAUGGUCUGACCCACUGAUGGAGCACGUGGGGAAAGGACCCGGUCAGCCCUGGGAGCACAGGUGAAGGCAAUUCAGCUGUGUGACUGGAAGGGGUGGAGCCUGACUGCACCCCUCUUAGACCUCAAUGAAGGGCUGACCCCUCCUGGGGAAGGAUCUUUGGUUGGAUGUUCCUCCCUGGUGGAGUCUUUUCUGUGAGCCUCAAUCUCUGGGAAUGGUGAGCACCUUUCCUUUCCCUUUGAAAUACCAUUCCGUCCCCGUUAGUCCCUUUGCUGUUCCGCUCCUGUACUGCCCUUCCACUGUGUUAAUCCUUCUGAUUGUAACAGUGUGUCGUUGCUGUUGGGUGCUUUUGGUAAAAACAGGAUUAAUAUUUAAUGUGCAGUUUUAGGGAUUUUUGUGAGGAUGAAAGAACUUAGUGCCACAGCGGGUUCUUAGCGUGUAACAAUGCUGUGGUUGUUUUUUAACUUCAAAAAGCAAACAUCCAUAAAUAAAUAACGUUUUCCUUCCGACUGGAAGCUGUCCCCGGCACCGCCAGUCCUGGGAGGCACAGCAGGGGGAGCUGGGAGCCUUCUGUCCGGAGGAGGCUCAAGGGAGACCUCAGACGUCCCCCUGAAAGGAGGCUGUAGAGAGGUGGGGGUCGGCCUCUUCUCCCGUGGAACAGCGAUGGGACGAGAGGGAACGGCUUCACGUUGCCCCAGGGGAGGUCCCCGUUGGAUAUUAGGAAGAACACCUCUGCUGAAAGAGCGGUCGGGCACUGGCACAGCCGCCCGGGGAGCUGCGGGAGUCAGCGUCCAUGGAGGUGUUCCAGGACCGUGGGGAUGUGGCACUGAGGGACGCGGGCAGUGGGCA